CCCUUAGAUGUUCUGGGCCGCACGCGUGCUACACUGAGUGGAUCAGCGGGUCAGGUUACGCGAGAGCGUUUCCUAAUCUUCAAAUCCGCUCGUGAUGGGGAUUGACGGUUGCAAUUUUCCGUCAUGAACGAGGAAUACCUUGUAAGCGCGGGUCAUCAUCCCGCGCUGAAUACGUCCCUGCCCUUUGUACACACCGCCCGUCGCUCCCACCGAUUGAGUGGUCCGGUGAGGCUUUGGGAUCUAAGCGAAAAGAGCGUUUCGCUCCUUUUGCUGGGAGAACUCAGUCGAACCUUAUCAUUUAGAGGAAGGAGAAGUCGUAACA
Molecule: ribosomal RNA, 322 nt
Filed under: uncultured eukaryote
Lineage: Eukaryota
Description: partial 18S ribosomal RNA
Rfam family: Eukaryotic small subunit ribosomal RNA
Source: RNAcentral